GAUUGGAAGUAAAAGUCGUAACAAGGUUUCCGUAGGUGAACCUGCGGAAGGAUCAUUAUCGUACAAAAUGUGUGAGGCAUGCGAGGGAUGUCGCUGGCUUUUAACACAAAAGUCGUGCACGCCAGAGUGUGUCCUCUCACAUAAAAUCCAUCUCACCCUUUUGUGCACCACCGCGUGGGCACCCCUCGGGAUCAAACAGAUCCAGGAGGGGGGCUUGCGUUUUCACACAAACCCCUUUUUAAAAGUGUAGAAUGACCCCAUUUUUGCGAUAACACGCAAUCAAUACAACUUUCAACAACGGAUCUCUUGGCUCUCGCAUCGAUGAAGAACGCAGCGAAAUGCGAUACGUAAUGUGAAUUGCAGAAUUCAGUGAAUCAUCGAAUCUUUGAACGCACCUUGCGCCCCUUGGUAUUCCGAGGGGCACACCCGUUUGAGUGUCGUGAAAAUCUCAACCUUCUCGGUUUCUUCUGGACACCGAAGGAGGCUUGGACUUUGGAGGCCUUUGCUGGCGUCUCUCGCCAGCUCCUCUCAAAUGAAUUAGUGGGGUCCUCUUUGCCGAUCCUCGACAUGUGAUAAGAUGUUUCCAUGUCUUGGUUUAUGGCUCUGUUGCUUUUGGGACCCGCUUCUAACCGUCUCAACGAGACAACGUUCGAGCGUGUCGAACACUCUUGAACCCACGAACCCUUGACCUCAAAUCGGGUGAGACUACCCGCUGAACUUAAGCAUAUCAAUAAGCGGAGGAAAUCG
Molecule: ribosomal RNA, 747 nt
Filed under: uncultured Lactarius
Lineage: Eukaryota; Fungi; Basidiomycota; Agaricomycetes; Russulales; Russulaceae
Description: eukaryotic LSU rRNA
Rfam family: 5.8S ribosomal RNA (bases 287-440)
Source: RNAcentral